This 253-nucleotide ribosomal RNA is filed under the name uncultured bacterium. Its description in RNAcentral is "partial 16S ribosomal RNA". It matches the Rfam family "Bacterial small subunit ribosomal RNA", at positions 524 to 776 of the family's 1533-position model. The record is from RNAcentral.
UACGUAGGCAGCGAGCGUUGUUCGGAAUUACUGGGCGUAAAGAGUGUGUAGGCGGUGUUCCCAGUCUGUUGUGAAAUCUCCCGGCAUAACUGGGAGGGUGCAGCGGAAACUAGAAUGCUAGAGGGUGGGAGAGGUAAGCGGAAUUCCUGGUGUAGCGGUGAAAUGCGUAGAUAUCAGGAGGAACACCUGUGGUGUAGACAGCUUACUGGACCACUUCUGACGCUGAGACACGAAAGCGUGGGUAGCAAACAGG